RNAcentral lists this long non-coding RNA (1000 nucleotides) under Salmo salar (Atlantic salmon). Its description in RNAcentral is "lncRNA (ENSSSAG00000084659.1)". The record is from RNAcentral. Lineage: Eukaryota; Metazoa; Chordata; Actinopteri; Salmoniformes; Salmonidae.
GCAUAGUGUAGUGUUGGGAGGGCAUAGUGUUGGGAGGGCAUAGUGUAGUGUUGGGAGGGCAUAGUGUAGUGUUGGGAGGGCAUAGUGUAGGGAGGGCAUAGUGUAGUGAGGGCAUAGUGUAGGGAGGGGAUAGUGUUGGGAGGGCAUAGUGUAGUGUUGGGAGGGCAUAGUGUAGUGUUGGGAGGGCAUAGUGUAGUGUUGGGAGGGCAUAGUGUAGUGUUGGGAGGGAAUAGUGUUGGGAGGGCAUAGUGUUGGGAGGGCAUAGUGUAGUGUUGGGAGGGCAUAGUGUUGGGAGGGCAUAGUGUAGGGAGGGCAUAGUGUUGGGAGGGCAUAGUGUAUGGAGGGCACAGUGUAGUGUUGGGAGGGCAUAUUAGUGUUGGGAGGGCAUAGUGUAGGGAGGGCAUAGUGUAGGGAGGGCAUAGUGUUGGGAGGGCAUAGUGUUGGGAGGGCAUAGUGUAGUGUAGGGAGGGCAUAGUGUAGGGAGGGCAUAGUGUAGUGUUGGGAGGGCAUAGUGUAGUGUUGGGAGGGCAUAGUGUAGGGAGGGCAUAGUGUAGUGUUGGGAGGGCAUAGUGUAGGGAGGGCAUAGUGUUGGGAGGGCAUAGUGUUGGGAGGGCAUAGUGUAGUGUAGGGAGGGCAUAGUGUUGGGAGGGCAUAGUGUUGGGAGGGCAUAGUGUAGUGUUGGGAGGGCAUAGUGUAGGGAGGGCAUAGUGUAGUGUUGGGAGUGCAUAGUGUUGGGAGGGCAUAGUGUUGGGAGGGCAUAGUGUAGUGUAGGGAGGGCAUAGUGUAGGGAGGGCAUAGUGUUGGGAGGGCAUAGUGUAGUGUAGGGAGGGCAUAGUGUUGGGAGGGCAUAGUGUUGGGAGGGCAUAGUGUAGUGUUGGGAGGGGCAUAUGUUGGGAGGGCAUAGUGUAGGGAGGGCAUAGUGUAGUGAGGGCAUAGUGUAGGGAGGGCAUAGUGUAGGGAGGGCAUAGUGUAGGGAGGGCAUAGUGUAGGGAGGGCAUAG